GAUGAACGCUGGCGGCGUGCUUAACACAUGCAAGCCGAACGAAGCAUUUGCGACAGAUUUUUUCGGAAUGAAGUUGCUUAUGACUGAGUGGCGGACGGGUGAGUAACGCGUGGGUAACCUGCCUUGUACUGGGGGAUAGCAGCUGGAAACGGCUGGUAAUACCGCAUAAGCGCACAAUGUUGCAUGACAUGGUGUGAAAAACUCCGGUGGUAUAAGAUGGACCCGCGUCUGAUUAGCUAGUUGGUGAGAUAACAGCCCACCAAGGCGACGAUCAGUAGCCGACCUGAGAGGGUGACCGGCCACAUUGGGACUGAGACACGGCCCAGACUCCUACGGGAGGCAGCAGUGGGGAAUAUUGCACAAUGGAGGAAACUCUGAUGCAGCGACGCCGCGUGAGUGAAGAAGUAAUUCGUUAUGUAAAGCUCUAUCAGCAGGGAAGAUAGUGACGGUACCUGACUAAGAAGCUCCGGCUAAAUACGUG
Molecule: ribosomal RNA, 481 nt
Filed under: uncultured bacterium
Lineage: Bacteria
Description: partial 16S ribosomal RNA
Rfam family: Bacterial small subunit ribosomal RNA
Source: RNAcentral